Non-coding RNA from Callithrix jacchus (white-tufted-ear marmoset), 623 nucleotides. The record is from RefSeq and is a predicted model, not a curated record. NCBI's taxonomy places the organism in Eukaryota, Metazoa, Chordata, Mammalia, Primates, Cebidae.
UUGCGUCACUGCGUCGCGUCAUCGCGACGACGUCAUCACGACGCGACGGUGCCGCACGCCAUCCGCGGACCUCGGAGCCUUUGCAGGAGGCUUUGCUGGGGUCCAAGCGGCUGCGGUGAGAACGGGGGAGACGCUGUGGCGGCCAUGCAGCCAGAGAUCUUUUGGCGGCCAGUCGAGGCGGCUCAGGCCCGUCAUCCCAGCACUUUGGGAGGCGGAGGUGGGCGGAUCACCCGAGGUCAGGAGUUCGAGACCAGCCCGACCAACAUGGAGAAAUUCCGUCUGUAUUAAGAAAAAAAGAUUAACGGGGAGCACACCUGACGGACAGAAAGAGGGUGGAUGAGAUACACGCAGGGAACAGAGACAGGUGACAGGUGUGAUGUUCCCUGCCUGUGGUCCCAGCACUUUGGGAGGCUGAUGCGGGCGGAUCCCCUGAUGUCGGGAGUUCGAGACCAGCCUGGCCAACAUGUUGGGGUCUUGCUGUGCUGCCCAGGCUGGACCGCAGUGGCGUGAUCUUGGCUCCCCGCAGCCUCCACCCUCUGGGUUCAGCCGAUUCUCCUGCGUCAGCCUCCCAAGUAGCUCUUGAGAAAUGUAAUUAAAUAAAAGCAAAAAUAGUAAAAAUGAAA